RNAcentral lists this ribosomal RNA (855 nucleotides) under uncultured organism. RNAcentral's name for it is "bacterial SSU rRNA". It matches the Rfam family "Bacterial small subunit ribosomal RNA", at positions 23 to 849 of the family's 1533-position model. The record is from RNAcentral.
CUCAGAAUGAACGCUGGCAGCGUGCUUACACAUGCAAGUCGCACGAGAACACCUCAGCUUGCUGGGGUAAGUAAAGUGGCGCACGGGUGAGUAACGCGUGGGUAAUCUGCCCCUGAAUCUGGGAUAACGCUGCGAAAGCGGUGCUAAUACCGGAUGACAUCGAAUUGACUUCGGUUGAUUGGAUCAAAGGUAGCCACUCCAUGGAAGCUACUGUUUGGGGAUGAGCCCGCGUACCAUUAGCUUGUUGGUAGGGUAACGGCCUACCAAGGCGACGAUGGUUAGCUGGUCUGAGAGGAUGAUCAGCCACACUGGAACUGGAACACGGUCCAGACUCCUACGGGAGGCAGCAGUGAGGAAUUUUGCGCAAUGAGGGAAACCUUGACGCAGCAACGCCGCGUGAGUGAUGAAGGCUUUCGGGUCGUAAAGCUCUGUCAAGUGGGAAGAAAUCCCGGGAAGUGAACAGUUUUUCGGGUUGACGGUACCACUGAAGGAAGCACCGGCUAACUCCGUGCCAGCAGCCGCGGUAAUACGGAGGGUGCGAGCGUUAUUCGGAAUUACUGGGCAUAAAGGGCGCGCAGGCGGUCAUGUAAGUCAGAUGUGAAAGCCCGGGGCUUAACCCUGGAAGUGCAUUUGAAACUGUGUGACUUGAGUAUGGGAGAGGGAAGCGGAAUUCCUGGUGUAGCGGUGAAAUGCGUAGAUCUCAGGAGGAACACCCGUGGCGAAGGCGGCUUCCUGGACCAAUACUGACGCUGAGGCGCGAAGGCGUGGGGAGCAAACAGGAUUAGAUACCCUUGGUAGUCCACGCAGUAAACGGUGAUCACUAGGUGUAGCGGGUAUUGAUCCCUGCUGUGCCGA